RNAcentral lists this ribosomal RNA (253 nucleotides) under uncultured bacterium. RNAcentral describes it as "partial 16S ribosomal RNA". It matches the Rfam family "Bacterial small subunit ribosomal RNA", at positions 524 to 776 of the family's 1533-position model. The record is from RNAcentral.
GACGUAGGGGGCAAGCGUUGUUCGGAAUUAUUGGGCGUAAAGCGCUCGUAGGCGGGACAGGAAGUUCGUGUUGAAAGACCUCGGCUCAACUGAGGGACCGGCUCGAAUACUCUUGUUCUUGAGGCAAUCAGAGGGUGAUGGAAUUCCCGGUGUAGCGGUGAAAUUCGUAGAUAUUCGCAAGAACACCAGUGGCGAAGGCGGCUCACUGGCCCGAUACUGACGCUGAGGCACGAAAGCGUGGGGAGCAAACAGG